Molecule: non-coding RNA, 3464 nt
Organism: Pantherophis guttatus
Lineage: Eukaryota; Metazoa; Chordata; Lepidosauria; Squamata; Colubridae
Source: RefSeq, a predicted model, not a curated record
CUUUCACUGAACCUUCACUGAAAGUUGACUACUCAAGGGAUUGAAGGAAAAUGGUCAACAUACACAGAGGUAGUCAACAUAUGGAACAACUGCACUGGAUAAAGAAAAAAACAACAACAGCCACUUACACAAUUGAUGUUACAAGGCAGGCAGGCUCAGUUGCUCACCGAUGAGAUGGAUGCAGCGGUGGAUGCUUUCCACUUCCAGCCAGGCAGGUCUGCUGCAAGCCACUCGAGCUUCAGCUACUGAUGACUGGCUGGGGAAUGGAUGGAAGCUGUACAAGGCAGGCAGAGUCAUCUAAAAGAAGUUGGAGGCGAUGGUUCAAGCCAUAUGAUGAUGUUUGGAAACUCUUGCCAUUCUAGUGCUCACUCCAGAUUUUCUCCCAAGCAUAACGCUGGCACCAUUAGAGCAAAACGCUAUUAAUUUUUUUUUGUAGGUAGUUCUGGGUAAACCCAACCUUACGUAAACUUUCCAGAACUGAAGAACAUAUUGUCUCUGCAUCUUGUUUCUUCAAUUCAACAAGCUUGAGGGAAAAUGUUGGUGGUUUCUCUGAGUCCUCAACUUUUACGAAAACUAUCACAACUGGUUUGCAGGAUACCAUUGAGGCUUCGUCAAUGAUCAAACAUUUUCAGAUUCUGUGCAAUAAUGCUGGUAAACAUUUUGGUUUUAAUUUCAUUCGCAAUGCACUCAACUAUUUUCACAACUGUUGGCCUUGAAUGCAAUUCUAUUCCCAGAUAUACUCCAUUUUCAGUUUGUAAUUCUAUUAAUUCUUCUAUGCUUGAAAUUGGUCUACAUGCUUUUGCCAGGCUGUAAACAGUUUUGAACAUUUUACAAGUGGUGCCUAAAUGUUUUUUCAGGCAACUUGUCCAUUGCUUUCGUUAUGGCAUGCUGCUCCCCUUGUUUUACGUUGUCUCUACAAAUGGUGUAAGCUUUUGAUAUGAAAUGUUCUCUCAUUUUCUUCCUUAGAGACGCCUGUUGCAGUUCUUUAUUUUUCCCAAAUGCCUCAAUCUUGAAAUGUUUCUAUUCUAUUCUUUGGACACAUCAACACAGCUCUCUAUUACGAACUCAUAUUUCGCACAGUACUUGCAACCUAAUUUCUUGUUUGAAACUUCCAGUCCCUCAUACUUUUCUUGAAAGGUUCUCAGCUGUUGCAAUGUCCAGCAGUGAGAAAGAUUAAUUUCAAUUUCUGUCUUGGGUGACUCAAUACUUGACUUGCUGCUUUCUCCAAAUUCAAGUGGUGGAAGUAGGGGUGCUUGGGACAGUUUUGGAUCGUUCAAGGCCAAUUCUGAUGGUGGGCUGUGCCAGUUUUGGUUUCUUGGCGAAGAAACUGGGCAGUCUUUUUCCUUUUCAUCCUUCCUAUUAAAGGCUACUACUGCAAAAAAAGGUGAUUUGUAGCUGAGAACUAAUGCUAAUGGAAGGGAUCUCUGUUUUCACCCAACAAUGUACAAUCUUUUCAGGAUGUGACUGGGGUCCAACAAGCAGGAACCUCACAGAGUCACAGAGAACUCAAAAAAACAACUAUCACACUUUACACACAAAAUGGUGGGGCUCAUGCGGAGAAUGGGCCACUACCUUGGGGUCCUGCCAACUCCUACUCUGGCCUGGGCCUCUGAACUCAACAGCCCCAAACAUUUCUUUCAAAACUUAUAUUGUCUGACUGCCAACAGCUGUAGAAUAGCUCCAGUCAUCAUCCGAUAUUCUUCUCUCUCUCCACUGGGGGGCGGUUGUUAAACAGACACAGUGGUCAUUAAGUAAACCCAUUGCCUGCAAUGGGUGGGGUUUUUUUUUUGCAAGAAACUAGAAGUCAAUGCUGGUUUCUGGCAAAAAAAAAGUAGUAAAUUGUAGCCACUUGACUAUGGGAUGCAGAAAAUGGCUAUAAAUGUGGGAUAGUGACCAAGUGCCCAAAAUCUGAUCACAUGGAUGGCCAAUGAAACAUAGACCUCCCCAUAAGUAUCCCUGGGGAGGUCCAUCAUAACUUUGAAUGGUCGCUAUGUGACCAAAUCAAGGAGUACCUGGACUUUUACAAAUAUAUCAAACAACUUCAAACAUUAUGAAAACCUGUCAAAUAAUAACACCAACCCCAAAUUCACCCUCUUCCCUUUUUCUCCUAAAAAUAACUUUUUUAUAUAAAAGAAACCAGUAUUCCCCAAAGCAGCCAGUGUAAUACUUGACACCCUUCAUAUUUUUGGUUGUCUUAUUUCAAGUAAAAUAUUGCAGUGUAUCCCCAGAUUUCUAUCAGAUGUAACAAAAAAAAAUAAAAAAUCUUCAUUUGAGAGAAGAAAUGCUAAGCUUUUAAUGGCAUGCAUGGAAAAAAGAAAUCCGCAUAUAGAAAUUUGAUUUUAAACAAAGUAGUUUCAUAAUAAGGGAAGCAAAUUCAUUUUUCAUCGAGCCUUAGGGAAUAAACUAUAUAAUACUAUAAAGUAACAAGUGCAACUUCUUAACAGAGUUCUUCUGUUUUGUUUUAUCUUUUCUACUCCACAAAAAUCUUAGUAGCAAGAUUGUAGCUCCUAAAAGAAACAUCAAGGGAACAUCCAUCAUAUUGUUUUGAAUUAAUAUUCAUAACUCUUCCUUUAUGAGUUCUUUUGGAAGUCUAUAACUUUUCACAUGUGCACUUAAUAAUCUGUGCUACUAAAAAUGUUGCAGCAUAUAACCUAUAUCUCUUACGAUGAUAAGAUUGGGAGAGAAAAGAUAUGUUGAGGUACACUUUGAAAGUAUGCGUGUUAAUGAUGUUCCCGUGGCAUUUUGAACUAAACAAAGGAGUCUGUUGCAUAAUUCAUUGGUUAAGGAUAUUAGCAUGAACUAGGCAAGAUUUUUUUUUAUAUUUCUGGUGCUUUGAAAUGCUGCAGAUUCUUUUCAGCUUAGCCAAUUGCAUUCUUCUUCUUCUUGUGCCAUGUCCGUCAUCGGACAUUGGCGAUCAUGUUGGCAAUCCUAUUUUUCUCAACAGCGAUAUGAAAAAAUUCUGCUGAGUUUUGUCCAAACCAGUCCCUUAGUUUUUGAAACCAAGUUCUUCUUCUGCCUGGGCCUCGUUUGCCUUCAAUUUUUCCCCGGAGGAUUAAGUGAAGGAUGCUGUAUUUUUCUGGGUGUCGCAUCACAUGUCCAAUUGCAUAGGGUAUACCAAUAUUCUACUUUCCAAUUUAAAGCAAUAGUGAUUUUUUUUACUGGAAGAGUUUUUAUGGAAGAGCUCCAGACAACUCUGACUUUCCCACUGGCAUUGUGAAGUACACAUAUCAACCUCUUCAACUGCAGCAUCCCCUGGCAAUAACCUGUGGGCAGCACUGCCUGUUUUAUCUACUUAAAACAUUUUAAAGGGAUAUCUUACAAAGAUGUUUUAAAGCUGUUCUCUGAAAAAGAUGUCAAAAAUGAUCGAAUGGUGAAACAGUUUAUAGUAAAUAUGAAGCUGGAAAGAGGGCCCGGAACAUGUAACAGUUACAUGUAUGGUCAUUAUAAAAUAACCACAAAACGUU